Molecule: unclassified non-coding RNA, 229 nt
Filed under: Hevea brasiliensis (rubber tree)
Lineage: Eukaryota; Viridiplantae; Streptophyta; Magnoliopsida; Malpighiales; Euphorbiaceae
Source: RNAcentral
AUAGAGGAACUAAAUAGUAAUUUUUCCUGAAUAAAUUUACAAUGAUGUAUACAGUCUAUGAGCAGGCAUCAGGACAAGAGAGUCUACAAAACUUUUUUCAUUGAUCUAGUAUGAUGAUCAAACAAUAUCUAAUUCACACCAGUCGAUCUUAGUUUCCUCAUGUUUGUUCUUUUCUUUUUUGCUGGGGCAGAAUCAGUGGAUAACUUGCUCUGUUUAAACUUCUCAACCA